GACGAACGCUGGCGGCGUGCUUAACACAUGCAAGUCGAACGGAAAGGCCCUGCUUUUGUGGUGUGCUCGAGUGGCGAACGGGUGAGUAACACGUGAGUAACCUGCCCUUGACUUUGGGAUAACUUCAGGAAACUGGGGCUAAUACCGGAUAGGAGCUCCUGCUGCAUGGUGGGGGGUGGAAAUUUUCGGCGGUUGGGGAUGGACUCGCGGCUUAUCAGCUUGUUGGUGGGGUAGUGGCUUACCAAGGCUUUGACGGGUAGCCGGCCUGAGAGGGUGACCGGCAACAUUGGGACUGAGAUACGGCCCAGACUCCUACGGGAGGCAGCGGUGGGGAAUAUUGCACAAUGGGCGGAAGCCUGAUGCAGCAACGCCGCGUGCGGGAUGACGGCCUUCGGGUUGUAAACCGCUUUCGCCUGUGACGAAGCGUGAGUGACGGUAAUGGGUAAAGAAGCACCGGCUAACUACGUG
RNAcentral lists this ribosomal RNA (468 nucleotides) under uncultured bacterium. Its description in RNAcentral is "partial 16S ribosomal RNA". It matches the Rfam family "Bacterial small subunit ribosomal RNA", at positions 28 to 507 of the family's 1533-position model. The record is from RNAcentral.